Molecule: ribosomal RNA, 484 nt
Filed under: uncultured bacterium
Lineage: Bacteria
Description: partial 16S ribosomal RNA
Rfam family: Bacterial small subunit ribosomal RNA
Source: RNAcentral
AGUGAACGCUGGCGGCAGGCCUAACACAUGCAAGUCGAGCGGCAGCGCGGGGGCAACCCUGGCGGCGAGCGGCGGACGGGUGAGGAAUUCGUCGGAAUCUGCCUUUUUGUGGGGGAUAACGUAGGGAAACUUACGCUAAUACCGCAUACGUCCUACGGGAGAAAGUGGGGGACCGCAAGGCCUCACGCAGAAAGAUGAGCCGACGACCGAUUAGCUAGUUGGUGGGGUAAAGGCCCACCAAGGCGACGAUCGGUAGCUGGUCUGAGAGGAUGAUCAGCCACACUGGGACUGAGACACGGCCCAGACUCCUAAGGGAGGCAGCAGUGGGGAAUAUUCGACAAUGGGCGGAAGCCUGAUCCAGCCAUGCCGCGUGUGUGAAGAAGGCCUUCGGGUUGUAAAGCACUUUUGUCCGGAAAGAAAUCCCUGGAGCUAAUACCUUCGGGGGAUGACGGUACCGGAAGAAUAAGCACCGGCUAACUUCGUG